Molecule: ribosomal RNA, 1494 nt
Filed under: Triticum aestivum (bread wheat)
Lineage: Eukaryota; Viridiplantae; Streptophyta; Magnoliopsida; Poales; Poaceae
Description: partial small subunit ribosomal RNA
Source: RNAcentral
AUGGUCAAACCAUUAGCCAAAUACACUAGCAAAAUAUUACCCAGACUACCCAUGCAUAGUCCAGAUACAAGUCAGAUACGAGUUGGACAGAGGCCAGAUAAUGCCCGGAAAAUGCGUUUUCUGCGCUACGCUUCGUGCAUCUCCGGCCUGCGGUGCGCCCGCGGCCACCCCGGCUCGCCUCUGUUCCGCGCGCGUGCGCGCGGCCGUCCGGCCCAACUCCAUCCCGCCGCGCUGGCCCCGCUGUUUGCCGCCUUCGCGCGCCAUCCCGGGCCGGCUCCCGGGUCCGCUCGCGCGUUGGCUCCGCCUGCUUACCAGCUCCGCGCGUCCCGGCCGGCUCUGCUAGCGGCGCCUCCGCCCCCACGCACUCGCGGCCGGGCCGGCUUCGCUCCGCCCCGUGCCGUCUGCUCCACCCCAGGCCGCCGUCUUCUCGCACCCGAGCGCAGCUCGACGCUGGCCACCGCUCCGCUGCCGGGCUACCCUGCCGGCCUCCCGCGCCCUCCGCGCAUCCUGGCCGGCUCCUGCGCGACUGUCUCCCCAGCAUGGCCUCCGCCCGGCCGGCCUGGCCGACUGCUGGAGUCCCCCGACCGCACGGACGUCGGCCGCCCCGCGCCUGCACCACAUCGUCCCUGCCCGUCACCGCUGCACCAACCGCGCCGCGUCCGGUUUCGCCGGCCGCCGGGUCGCCACGCCCGGCUCUCUCCGACUCCGCGUCCCGCAGAUGCCGGCGCCGCCUCCGUCCAGCUGGCCGUGCCGGCUCCCGCUCCCGCUCCACAGCGCCGGCUCACCGACCAACCCGGCCGCUCUGCCUUCCUCACGCACGCCGGCUCCCCUGCGAGCCCCGUGCCGAGCCGCCGCCGUUUCCCCUGCGAGCCCCGUGCCGAGCCGCCGCCAUCUCCCCCGACUCUGCCUGGCCGCCGACUCCAGAUCCGGCUGCGCCGGCUGCCGCUGUCCGGGGCCGGCCUCCGCCCCUCUCUGCCUCGGGUCGCGACCGGGCGCUCCGCGCCCGCAGCCGGCUCCCGCGCCCGUGUCCUGCGUCCACGACCACCCGGCUGCGCCGGGCCGACUCUGCCCGUGGCCGCCGGCUCGCCACUGCAGCCGGCCCCGGCCGCGUCCCUGCUGCUGCCGGCUCCGAGCCGUCCCGCCAGCCGGCCGCCCCGCCUCGCGCGGCUCCUCCCACGCCCGCCGGGAUGCCGCCCCGCGCUGGCCCGGGACCUCCGCGCCGGCUCCGGCUUCUCGCCUAGCCGGCCCCGUGCCCGGUCUCCUCGCGGCUGCGGCUGCGCCCAAACUCCGGCCUCCAGCCUCGAGCGCCGCUUCCGGCCGGCUCCCGCCCGCUCCGGCCGGCUCCGGCGUCCACCAUCGCCGCUGGCCGACUUCGCCUCCGACCCUGCCAUGGCCACGCUGCCCCGUCCGCGCACCGCCGCCCAUGCCCGCGCUGCGCCGCCUCCCGUCGCGCCUCCCGCCGGCUUCGCCCGGGCCGGCUCCAACUUCGCCUAG